GUUUCACAGGAGUACCUGUUGCUGUAAGGAACCCCCUGGUUUUCCAGAUUAAGCCAAAGUCAUGUGCCACGCCCAGGGCAUACCUUGAGUCUGUAUAAAUAUUAACACGCUUCCCUUCAGACAUCUUGCAUGCCACCGUAAGGGCUAUUAGUUCGGCUUCUUGUGCUGACUUAGAUGAUGGGAGUGAAGAUGCUUGGAGUAUUUGGUCCUCUGUGGUGACUGCAUAUCCGGUAUGAUAUUGUCC
Molecule: non-coding RNA, 244 nt
Organism: Pelobates cultripes (western spadefoot toad)
Lineage: Eukaryota; Metazoa; Chordata; Amphibia; Anura; Pelobatidae
Source: the annotation of a GenBank genome assembly